ACCAUUGGACUGAGCACAGGAAUCCCAAUGGAGGAGUUAGAGAAAGGACUAAAGGAGCUGAAGAGGUUUGCAGUCCCAUAGGAAGAACAACAACAUUAACCAACCAGACCCCCCCCCAGAGCUCCCAGGAAAUAAAUCACCAAAGAGUACACAUGGAGCAACCCAUAUCUCCAGCCGCAUAUGUAACCAAUGAUGGCCUUGUUGGGCAUCAAUGGGAGGAGAGGCCCUUGGUGCUAUGAAGGUUCAAUGCCCCAGAGUAGGAUAAUGUCAGGGCAGGGAGACAGGAUGGAGUGGGUGGGGGGUACCUUCAUAGAAACAGCGGGAGGGAAUUUAGGAUAGGGAGGGGAAACCCAGAAAGGGGAUAACAUUUGAAAUGUAAAUAAUAAUAAAAAUAAAAAUCCAAGAAAAAAGAAAAAAAGAAAAGAAAAAAAGUGUUGAGAAUGAGCUCCAUCUCAUGGAGCAGACAUUAAUCAGGAAGUUGGUGGUUACUCCCAAAACAUUCAUGUUACCAUGACAAAUUGACAUAUCCUGACGGACCAGUCAUUAUCAUAGCAUGCAUAGUUUAAAGAUUGUGAGAUCUUUGAAAGUUUCAUUUCCUCAAUAGUGUACCACAGCUUCUUAAUACUUUGGGGUCUAGAUAUGGACAACAGUGGCAGUAGAUAACGUUUUGUCAUCUUUCUCACAAUGGGGUCUGGAAUAUAAGAAGAGGAAGCACUCAGAUAUACUCUUGCCCUUUGUUUAAUCUAGACAAAGCCCCACAUUAGCGA
RNAcentral lists this long non-coding RNA (767 nucleotides) under Rattus norvegicus (Norway rat). Its description in RNAcentral is "long non-coding RNA NONRATT020523". The record is from RNAcentral. Lineage: Eukaryota; Metazoa; Chordata; Mammalia; Rodentia; Muridae.